AGAGUUUGAUCAUGGCUCAGGACGAACGCUGGCGGCGCGCCUAACACAUGCAAGUCGAGGGAGAACCAGGCUUCGGCCUGGGGAGACCGGCGAACGGGUGAGUAACACGUGAGGAACCUGCCCUGUAGACCGGAAUAACCGCGGGAAACUGCGGCUAAUGCCGGAUGAGCUCUGCACACCACAUGGGGUGCGGAGGAAAUGGCCAGCCGCUACAGGAUGGCCUCGCGGCCUAUCAGCUUGUUGGUGGGGUAACGGCCCACCAAGGCGACGACGGGUAGCUGGCGUGAGAGCGCGACCAGCCACACUGGGACUGAGACACGGCCCAGACUCCUACGGGAGGUAGCAGUGGGGAAUCUUGCGCAAUGGGCGAAAGCCUGACGCAGCGACGCCGCGUGCGGGAAGAAGGCCUUCGGGUUGUAAACCGCUUUCAGCAGGGAAGAAGCGAAAGUGACGGUACCUGCAGAAGAAGGACCGGCCAACUACGUGCCAGCAGCGGCGGUAAUAC
Molecule: ribosomal RNA, 505 nt
Filed under: uncultured bacterium
Lineage: Bacteria
Description: bacterial SSU rRNA
Rfam family: Bacterial small subunit ribosomal RNA
Source: RNAcentral